GGGCCAGUAGAUCAGUUGGCAGAUCGCCACCUUGGCAUCUGCAGGUUUGAAUGCCUGUUGCCAGAAUGGUGGAGGCCAGGGGUUCAAAUCCCCUCUGGUCCA
This 102-nucleotide transfer RNA is filed under the name uncultured organism. Its description in RNAcentral is "tRNA-Ala". It matches the Rfam family "tRNA". Rfam says of the family: Transfer RNA (tRNA) molecules are approximately 80 nucleotides in length. Their secondary structure includes four short double-helical elements and three loops (D, anti-codon, and T loops). The record is from RNAcentral.